GGAGAUGUAGCUCAGUGGUGUAGCACAUGCCCGGCAUGCAUUAAGCCUUAGGUUCAAUUUCUAACACCACAA
RNAcentral lists this transfer RNA (72 nucleotides) under Cavia porcellus (domestic guinea pig). It matches the Rfam family "tRNA". From Rfam's summary of the family: Transfer RNA (tRNA) molecules are approximately 80 nucleotides in length. Their secondary structure includes four short double-helical elements and three loops (D, anti-codon, and T loops). Further hydrogen bonds mediate the characteristic L-shaped molecular structure. tRNAs have two regions of fundamental functional importance: the anti-codon, which is responsible for specific mRNA codon recognition, and the 3' end, to which the tRNAs corresponding amino acid is attached (by aminoacyl-tRNA synthetases). tRNAs cope with the degeneracy of the genetic code in two manners: having more than one tRNA (with a specific anti-codon) for a particular amino acid; and 'wobble' base-pairing, i.e. permitting non-standard base-pairing at the 3rd anti-codon position. The record is from Rfam by way of RNAcentral. Lineage: Eukaryota; Metazoa; Chordata; Mammalia; Rodentia; Caviidae.